CAACCCAUCACUCUAUGCGAGCUGGUCAUGCUCGAGACCGUUACCUUAACUGCUAGGAGAGAGAUAUAGUAGGUAGGAUUACUUACUGGAGUGAUGUCACAACAAGGUAGUCAUACUGAAAGGUGCGUCUG
Molecule: ribosomal RNA, 131 nt
Filed under: Olea europaea subsp. europaea
Lineage: Eukaryota; Viridiplantae; Streptophyta; Magnoliopsida; Lamiales; Oleaceae
Description: SSU_rRNA_bacteria
Source: RNAcentral